AAUCAACGCUGGCGGCGUGCCUAACACAUGCAAGUCGAACGGGAAAGUGGAGCAAUCCAUGAGUAAAGUGGCGCACGGGUGAGUAACACGUGACUAACCUACCCUUGAGUGGGGAUAACCUAGGGAAACCUGGGCUAAUACCGCAUAAUACCUACGGGUCAAAGGAGCAAUUCGCUUUAGGGAGGGGGUCGCGGCAGAUUAGUUAGUUGGCGGGGUAAUGGCCCACCAAGACGAUGAUCGUAUCCGGCCUGAGAGGGCGCACGGACACACUGGAACUGAAACACGGUCCAGACUCCUACGGGAGGCAGCAGGUGGGGAAUUUUGCGCAAGUGGGGGAAACCCUGACGCAGCAACGCCGCGUGGAGGAUGAAGACCCUUGGGUCGUAAACUCCUUUCGAUCGGGACGAUAAUGACGGUAACCGGAAGGAGAAGCCCCGGCUAACUUCGUGCCAGCAGCCGCGGUAAC
Molecule: ribosomal RNA, 466 nt
Filed under: uncultured bacterium
Lineage: Bacteria
Description: bacterial SSU rRNA
Rfam family: Bacterial small subunit ribosomal RNA
Source: RNAcentral